Molecule: ribosomal RNA, 497 nt
Filed under: uncultured bacterium
Lineage: Bacteria
Description: partial 16S ribosomal RNA
Rfam family: Bacterial small subunit ribosomal RNA
Source: RNAcentral
GAUGAACGCUGGCGGCGUGCCUAAUACAUGCAAGUCGAGCGAACGGACGAGAAUCUUGCUUUUCUGAUGUUAGCGGCGGACGGGUGAGUAACACGUGGAUAACCUACCUAUAAGACUGGGAUAACGUCGGGAAACCGGAGCUAGUACCGGAUAAUAUUUUGAACCGCAUGGUUCAAAAGUGAAAGACGGUCUUGCUGUCACUUAUAGAGGGAUCCGCGCUGCAUUAGCUAGUUGGUAAGGUAACGGCUUACCAAGGCAACGAUGCAUAGCCGACCUGAGAGGGUGAUCAGCCACACUGGAACUGAGACACGGUCCAGACUCCUACGGGAGGCAGCAGUAGGGAAUCUUCCGCAAUGGGCGAAAGCCUGACGGAGCCACGCCGCGUGUGUGAUGAAGGUCUUCGGAUUGUAAAACUCUGUUAUUAGGGAAGAACAUAUGUGUAAGUAACUGUGCACAUCUUGACGGUACCUAAUCAGAAAGCCACGGCUAACUACGUG